Molecule: long non-coding RNA, 2544 nt
Organism: Heterocephalus glaber (naked mole-rat)
Lineage: Eukaryota; Metazoa; Chordata; Mammalia; Rodentia; Bathyergidae
Source: Ensembl
UGUAUUUUCAAGGCCACCACAGGCCCUCUUCUAAAUAAGAGACGGAGGAGCUGGGCUGUGUGUGCUGGGGGAGUCAUUUUUCCUCACGCAUCUCUGGCCAAAGGCCCCCACCCAGCGAGUGAGCUGGUUUCCUGCCUUUGCCAUGCUCUGGUCAGAAUAGGUUCAAGGUCAGCUCCAAACCCCUUGAGCAGUGCCCUUCCUGCCGCUGCUAUAUUUGUGUUCAAGAAGAGAAUGAGCGAGGCAGCAGCCCUUCCUCAAAGGAGCUCGCUGAGAGGUGGGCACUCCUGCUGCUCUCUCCACAUUCUGCAGCCUGCCCAGCUCCCAGCAUCCCCUGCAGCCACCAGCCUGUGCCUGUCCCUGCAGAGUGAGCCUUGCCUGGGGGAAGCACACGGGGCUGCAGCAGGCAACAGAGACAGAAAUGCCCAGGGUUCUUUUCCCCAGGCUGGGAAGAGCUUGCUGCAAGAACCACUGGGUAAACCAUGGCUUCACACAUGUGUUUGCUUCAGGGUGCUGGCAGGCCAGGACUCUCUGCUGCCUGUGCCUCACAAAGUGAUCGUCACUCACAAAGUCCUGCGGAAGGCCAGAGGAAACCUGGAGCUUAGGCCCGGAGGGGCCCACCCGGGGACAGCCAGUCCCAGCAGACCCGGCUCCUGAGGAUGACUGCCAGCCAAUUAAGCCAAUAAAGCUUGUGGCCCCAGAUCACGCCAUGUGUCUGUUUCCCAUGUGGCUCCUGGUGGUGGAGGAAGAAUUGGCUGAUUGGCCCUAGGACAUCUGUCCUUCUCUCGGUGCUUUGUCCCAAGUUCGCUUAAGGGUGGUCGUCCCAGAGGUUCAGGGGCUCUGAGACGAGGGCUUAGGAAGGCCUUGCACUCUGGGAUGCUGCACUGGGUUUGAAUCUGCGCAGGGAUCUGGGGCUGAGGCUGUGCCUUUGGUGGCUUCACAGGCUCCCCUGAGUUUGCCUAGUUCUCCCAGCCAGCACCAUGGUUUAAAGCUUCUUAAAUGACUCACUUCAUUUCAAUGGCCUGAUUUGGGGAUUGUGUGGGACCUGAGCCCCAACUCCCAUGUGGGACGGGCCAGGGUCUCAGGAACCCCAUGGCCCUCGGGUCUUGCCCAGAUCUCACUGCUGAGCCCACUCGGGGGUGUUCAGGGCAGGGACUCCCUGUGGCCUGGCUCUGGGCACUGUGCCUUCGCCCAGUGAUCUUGCAGAGCACUCAUCUGAGGUGGCACUGUUCCUCAUUAGGAAGGAGCUGUGUGAGCCCGGAGCUGGGACUUAGCCUUUGGACUGGCCCAGUGGGGAUAGUGACUUGUCCCCUCAGCUGUUUGCACUGCUGCUGGCAUUCUUGCUGCUGCCCUGUCAUGGAUCUUCGUGCCUGGUUAUCCUUAUCUAUGCCAUAAGCCUCGCAGUGUCCCUGAGAAAUAAACGAAGCAGGGCUGAACCGCCUUUGCAGAUGGGUCUCAGGCCUGGUCCCAGGUGUGUGGCCCCCCCUGAGAGGCAGGGGCAGACUGGGAUGCUGUACGACCUGGGCUUGCUCUUACUGCCUCAUGACCCCAAUCCCAUUAUCAGGUGCCAAAGAGCAGGUUCCGGCCAGCAGAUGGGCCUUGGUUGAGGAGCCCACAGAACCCUGACUCAGUCUCUCUGUCCCCAUUUCUGCCAUCAUUGUGCGGACUUGAGCAUCUGUUUGGGUGACCCCUCAGUUUGCUUUCCCUCUGAAGUCCCGCAUGCUGAUACUCGGCCUCUGGCCACAGACUGCCAGGCUUCCAGCCUGCUGGCUGCCUCACACUCUCCUCUGACUCCUCAGAGAUUCUCAUCUCUGCCCUGUACCCUUUCUUCUGUCUCUUGUGGAGGUGGUCAGGGUCUCUGCACCGGAAGGCCAAGGUCUUAGCCUGUGAGUGGUGGAACUGGGCCUCCAUCCCUCCUGUCCUUCUAAACCCAGGAGUGGCUGCCCUCGGCCUCCAGACAUGAUGAUGAUCCAAAGUGAUGCAGCUGCUUGGCUGGAGACAGAGGGAGCAGAAUGCAGGGAAGUCCAGGACAGGUGCAUCCCAGACACCGUGAUCCUCACCUCCAUCCAUUCAGUGAGGGGCUGGGCAGGUGUCUGGAGGAUGCUUCCGGUUUGGCUUCCCAUCGCCUACUUUCUUCUUGAGUAGCUGCACCUUGUUUUUGUACUUGCCCACAUGUGAAAACUAGCUCCAGACAUCACAUCACAAAUAGAGUUCCCUUUUCCAGAAGUCAUGUCAUGGACUUCCUGAGAGGAAGCUUAGUCUGCUGAGGAGUGCAGAGGAGGUCUGGAUUCCAGUCCUGGCUCUCAUAUUUCUGUCCUCAGUCUCCACAUCUGGCAAAUGAGAGUCCCUCUUCUGCCUAAUCCUGGUGAUAGUUGUGAGCUUCAACAUUUGGAAGGAGCUGGAGAACACUUGCCAAAAAUCAGUGACUCAUCUUCACUGUCUCUGUGGCUGGUCCUGAGCAUGUUUUUAUAGUGCUUUUUGGAAUUCCUUUGUCAAAUGUACACAAAUGUGCGCACGCUCGUGUGUGUGUGUGUGUGUGUGUGGGGG